GAUGAUGGCUCUGAUUGAACGCUAUCCAAGUGCUUGACACAUGCUAAUCGAACGUCUAAUUUCAUUAGAAUUAAUUUAGUUAGAAGUGGUGUACAGGUGAGUAAAUGAUAUUAUGGCUACCUUGGAGUAAGGGACAUUAAAAUCCCUUAUAUUAUACAAAAAAAUUGGUAUUAAAGAAAUUUAUUUUCGCUUCAAGAUGGAAAUUAAUGUCUCGGGCAGGUAGUAGUUAAGGUAAUGGCUUAACUAGCUUAUGUCCGUAGUUCGAGACUGAGAGGUCGAUCGAUCACAUUGGGUCUGAAAAAACCCCAAUACGUAUAGUACAGCAGUGAGGAAUAUUGGUCAAUGGCCUAACGGCUGAACCAGCAACUUGGGGGAAUGGAUAUAUAUAUUAGAGAUAAUAUAUAGUACCGACUCUGUCGGCUAAAGUUCUAGAUAGAAUAAUGAUAAUGACAAUUUUCUAUCUAUAUGUCUUGACCAAAUCUUGUGCCAGCAGUCGCGGCAACACAAGGGAGACUAGUGUUAUUCAUCUUUAUUAGGUUUAAAGGGUACCUAGACGGUAUAUCAAGCCCCAAAAGGGAACGGAUAUACUAGAGUUUUAUGUGAGAGGCAAAUAUAGUACUAUUGGUGUAGAGAUAAAAUUCAUUGAUACCUCUAGGCACGGGUAACGGCGAAGGCAAUCCUCUAUGUAAAAACUGACGUUGAGGGACGAAGGCUCGGGUAGCGAAUAGGAUUAGAUACCCUAGUAGUCCGGGCAGACAAUUAUGAAUGUCAUAGAUUAGAAAACAAAGAAGCUAGUUAGGUUUGCUAUGAACAGACUGUAUAAUUUAAGAGUCUUGUUAUUAAAUUAUACAGUCUCUACUGUAACUAGUUUUAGAUAUUAACUCUUAGACUUCCUUAAACGAGAGUCUCCUCAUUUCCUUCUGACUUCUCAUUAAGGGAGAGGCUCCGAGAAGCAAAGCAGAUGGGUGUAGAAUGGGAGUUUAAGGAAGGUUUAUUUGCCUCUUGGAUUAUUCAUUCUUUAAAUAAACCUUCGAAGGUUAGUUAUCUUUCUCUAGUUAACCGUACACAAGGAGCUAGAAGUGUAGUAUAUAUCAACUUGUGUAUUAAAAAGGAUACGGGUAAAGGUUUGCUUCUUCACCUUCCUAUUUUUGGUCUAUAAAUGAAAGUGUAAGCAUUCCACCUCAAGAGUAAGGCGGCAACGUUGGAACUGAAAUCAUUAGACCGUUUCUGAAACCAGUAGUGAAGUAUGUUAUUUAAUUCGAUGAUCCGC
This 1270-nucleotide ribosomal RNA is filed under the name Lasiodiplodia theobromae. RNAcentral's name for it is "SSU rRNA". It matches the Rfam family "Bacterial small subunit ribosomal RNA", at positions 15 to 962 of the family's 1533-position model. The record is from RNAcentral. Lineage: Eukaryota; Fungi; Ascomycota; Dothideomycetes; Botryosphaeriales; Botryosphaeriaceae.